RNAcentral lists this ribosomal RNA (459 nucleotides) under uncultured bacterium. Its description in RNAcentral is "partial 16S ribosomal RNA". It matches the Rfam family "Bacterial small subunit ribosomal RNA", at positions 338 to 795 of the family's 1533-position model. The record is from RNAcentral.
CCUACGGGAGGCAGCAGUGAGGAAUAUUGGUCAAUGGUCGGGAGACUGAACCAGCCAAGCCGCGUGAGGGAUGAAGGUACAGAGUAUCGUAAACCUCUUUUGUCAGGGAACAAAGGCGGGGACGUGUCCCCGGAUGAGUGUACCUGAAGAAAAAGCAUCGGCUAACUCCGUGCCAGCAGCCGCGGUAAUACGGAGGAUGCGAGCGUUAUCCGGAUUUAUUGGGUUUAAAGGGGGCGCAGGCGGUCUGUUAAGUCAGCGGUAAAAGCCCGGGGCACAACCCCGGCCCGCCGUUGAAACUGGCAGUCUCGAGUUGGAGAGAAGUAUGCGGAAUGCGCGGUGUAGCGGUGAAAUGCAUAGAUAUCGCGCAGAACUCCGAUUGCGAAGGCAGCAUGCCGGCUCCACACUGACGCUGAGGCACGAAAGCGUGGGUAUCGAACAGGAUUAGAUACCCCUGUAGUC